GAAAUGCGAUAAGUAGUGUGAAUUGCAGAAUUCAGUGAAUCAUCGAAGCUUUGAACGUACAUUGCACCCUUUGGCAUUACAAAGGGCAUGCCUGUUCGCGCGUCGUUUGUACCCUCAAGCUUUGCUUGGAGUUGGGCGUCUUGUCUCCAGUUCGCUGGGGACUCGCCUUAAAGUUAUUGGCAGCCGGCCUACUGGUUUCGGAGCGCAGCACAAGUCGCGCUCUCUUCCAGCCAAGGUCAGCAUCCACAAAGCCUUUUUUCAACUUUUGACCUCGGAUCAGGUAGGGAUACCCGCUGAACUUAA
RNAcentral lists this unclassified non-coding RNA (303 nucleotides) under uncultured Chalastospora. RNAcentral's name for it is "sequence contains ITS1". The stretch from base 1 to 105 matches the Rfam family "5.8S ribosomal RNA", at positions 50 to 154 of the family's 154-position model. The record is from RNAcentral. Lineage: Eukaryota; Fungi; Ascomycota; Dothideomycetes; Pleosporales.